AACGAACGCUGGCGGCAUGCCUAACACAUGCAAGUCGAACGAGACCUUCGGGUCUGGUGGCGCACGGGUGCGUAACGCGUGGGAACCUGCCCUUAGGUUCGGAAUAACUCCCCGAAAGGGGUGCUAAUACCGGAUAAUGUCUUCGGACCAAAGAUUUAUCGCCUUUGGAUGGGCCCGCGUUGGAUUAGCUAGUUGGUAGGGUAAACGCCUACCAAGGCGACGAGCCAUAGCUGGUCUGAGAGGAUGAUCAGCCACACUGGGACUGAGACACGGCCCAGACUCCUGCGGGAGGCAGCAGAGGGGAAUAUUGGACAACGGGCGAAAGGCUGAACCAGCACGGCCGCGUGAGUGAUGAAGGCCUUAGGGUUGUAAAGCUCUUUUACCCGGGAUGAUAAUGACAGUACCGGGAGAAUAAGCACCGGCUAACUCCGUG
This 433-nucleotide ribosomal RNA is filed under the name uncultured bacterium. RNAcentral describes it as "partial 16S ribosomal RNA". It matches the Rfam family "Bacterial small subunit ribosomal RNA", at positions 29 to 507 of the family's 1533-position model. The record is from RNAcentral.